UGCAGUCGAGCGGAUGAAGAGAGCUUGUUCUCUGAUUCAGCGGGCAGAGGGGUGAGUAAUGCCUAUGAAUCUGCCUAUUACUGGGGGACAACGAUUCCAAAGGAACACUUAUACCGCUUACNUCCUACAGGAGAAAGCAAGGGACCUUCAGGUCUUGCGCUAAUAGAUGAGCCUAAGUCGGAUUAGCUAUUUGGUGAGGUAAUGGCUCACCAAGGCCACGAUCCCUAUCUGGUCUGAGAGGAUGAUCAUUCUCACUGGAACUGAAACUCAGACCAGACUCCUACUGGAGGCAGCAGUGGGGAAUAUUGAACAAUGGGCGAAAGCCUGAUCCUGCCAUGCCCCUUGUGUGAAGAAGGUCUUCGGAUUGUAAAGCACUUUACCUUGGGAGGAAGGGCAAUAAAUUAAUACUUUGCUGUUUUGACUUUACCGACACAAUAAGCACCGGCUAACUUCAUGCCAGCGCCCGCGGUUAUACGAAUGGAGCAGGCGUUAAUCGUAAUUACUGGGCGUAAAGCGCGCGUAGGUGGUUUGUUAAGUUGAAUGUGAAAGCCCCGGGCUCAACCUGGGAACUGCAUCCAAAACUGGCAAGCUSGAGUAUGGCAGAGGGUGAUGGAAUUUCCUGUGUAGCGGUGAAAUGCGUAGAUAUAGGAAGGAACACCAAUGGCGAAGGCGACCGCCUGUGCUACUACUGACACUGACGUGCGAAAGCGUGGGAGCAACGCGAUUAGAUACCCUGGCAGUCCACGUCCUAACGAUGUCGACUAGCCCUUGGGAUCCUUGACAUCUUAGAGGCCCAUCUAACGCAUUAAGUCUACCGCCUGGGAGUACGACUCAGGUUAAAACUCAAUGAAUUGACAGGCCCG
Molecule: ribosomal RNA, 863 nt
Filed under: endophytic bacterium
Lineage: Bacteria
Description: bacterial SSU rRNA
Rfam family: Bacterial small subunit ribosomal RNA
Source: RNAcentral